Molecule: long non-coding RNA, 2052 nt
Organism: Passer domesticus (house sparrow)
Lineage: Eukaryota; Metazoa; Chordata; Aves; Passeriformes; Passeridae
Exons: 4
Source: RefSeq, a predicted model, not a curated record
GAUUCUGCCAGUAAUUACCAGGGAAGAAGAAAGGGAAUUUGUUGUGAGAUCCCAGGUAAAAUGAAGCAGGAUUUAAUUGGUCCUCGUUAAACAGAGCUGGGUUUCCAAUAUGGAGAAGGGCCUCGUCCGGGCAGUGUUUAAUUGGGGCUGUGUGUGCGCUGCGCAGCCGGGGCUGAAAGGCAGACGCGGGGCCCUGUUCUUUCAUCCCAUUUUCUAAUAAGGAUAAAUAAACAGGAUGAAUAAUGCCAUCAGUCUCUCCCUCGACCCCUGUGAGACCCCAGCAAUGCAGUGCUGCUCACCCCAGAGCUGCUCCCUGGGAUCCAUGAAUCCAAUGCAAGCAGGAUCCCUCGGCACAGAGCUCUGUUAGCAGAACCCCCAGAUCCAGCUACGGAGCACUUUGGGGAAUUCUUUGGUUAGUGGCUGUCAGAGGGGAGCCUGAGGAGGGGAUGGGGCUCAGGGGGCAGGAGGAAAAAGGAGGGAGAAAAGAAUGGAAAAUAAAAUUAUGUCUUUCCCUUCUAUUUUUCCUUUUUUAUUUUUUUUCCCCCCGUAAAUCCUGGGAAGCGCUGGGAGACUGCACUCCCCCUCCCACGCCGCCCACUCGGGUAAUUUCAUUUAUCCCGCAAAUCUAAUUAGCAAUCCGUGGCUGACAUUAAUACAGAUCUAAUGAGGCCGGCGAUGACCAGAUUAUCAGGCGAGCGCUGACAGCCUUAAAGGCACAUCGAGCCCUGCAGUCAGUGGGACCCGGCAGGGGAAAAACUGCUUUAAACGGGGAGAAGAAAAAGAAGAAAAAAAAAAAAAAGGAAAGGAGGAAAGAAAGAAAAAAAAUAGACGAGGGAGGGGGAGAAAAACAUGAGGAAAAGCGGUGCGGGUAGGGCUUGGCUGCUUAGCUUAUUAAGGGAGCUGGAGCUUUGCUUUUGGACGCAGUUUAUCCACCAGCAUCGGGCCUCUGUCCCUGCUUCUCCCGAAAUACUGUUCUGCAGAGGAGAAAAAGGAGGGGGGGAAAUAAGGGGAAAAAAAAAUAAGAAGAAGCUGGAGCCCAAGGAGUCGCUGUGCAAUUUAUUCCAAGGGGUGGCUGUUGAGAAGGCGGCAAUUUGCGGCGGCCGGGGGUUAUUUAGUGCGAUAUGAAAUCAAAUGAUCCUAUUGCUCAAAUAACAGUGUCUGGGAGGAGAAGCGAGCGCGCUCCAAAGAUCUGUGUCCUUUAAAGCGGCAGCAGCAGUGGCAAGCACUGAGAUGGAGCAGGAUGGAGUGGCCUGGCCAAGCCGUGGCCCCGCUGGCAGGAGCUGCAGAGUGGACAGCAGAGGGAACAACUUGGUCUUGAAGGUUCUGUUCUGAAAGAGGAUCCUGGCAGAAACAUGGCUUGGUGCAGAGGACGGCGCGACGAAAGCGAGAGAGCAGCAGACACUUGAACGGAGACUCCUCGUGUUUACAGCCUGGUCACACGAGUGACUGAGACCCGAAAUCUCCCUGACAUCCUCUCUGGAUGCUUGGCCUUGGAACAGCCUCAUUUGUGCCACACAUGCUCCCUUCUGCUUGUGGAGCCUUCUAUACUGCACAGGACACUGGAAAAGCACUUGGAGAAGGAAGGGGGCUUCCUGGAAAACAAGUCUCUAAACCAGCCCUUCCCGCUGCCGUGGCUUUUUGGGGCUCAUUAAUAUCAGUGGUUCCUGCUGGAGGAACUCUGUCACCUUCCCCAAGGCAGCAGAUCUGAGGCCAGACGUGGUGUGCACUGCUUGAGCAUCAGACAUGAGUAAUAACAAGUUUCGAGGAACUGUACCACUUAAUAAAAGCAUUUUAUUACAUUUAAAUGUAUUAAAAUGUGAACAUUAAAUUCAACGCGCUAAUUACUGUUUCCAGGCACUGCCACUGACAGGAAAUGGAUCCUCACAAUUGCUCUGCUGAGAUCGCUCACUGCUGUUACUGCUCUUUGGUUCCUGGUGUGUUAUUAGUGCUCUGCAUUUGGGACUUGAGUCAUUAACAAAAAGGACUCGUAUUGGGCAUUAUGUAAAUUCUAUAUGUUUUCACACAGCUACCAGGGCCUGUGUUAUAUGUCUC